GAGAGCUCGCGCGGGCGUACGAUUCUGGCGGCGUGGGGGCCCAGGCAGCCGCCGCUUCCAGAAGGUUCGGUGGCGGUUGGGCCGCGCCGGUGCGGGGAAGGCCCGCUAGCCGCGGCAGCCGCGCCCGACCCGGUGGCAGCCCCGAGGGAAGCGUCUGGGGCGGCCUAAGUGGCGGAGCAGGGCGGACUUGGGCCCUCACUCUCCGCGCGGCGGACAAAGCGUCACGAGGUGGGGAGGAGGAAAGGCCGGCGACUAUCUACACCGCCGCCUGCAGCUUUUACUGGGAGCGCUGAGCGCCAGCCUGGAGGUGCACGUGUUGCAGUGAGGAGCCCUGAAACAUGCGUGUUUUACUGCACAAGAUGUGCCCUUGAAUGGAGUCUAGGCCAGUCGGGGUCACCAAAAAAAAUCCACCAAAAAACACCCAAGAAGGGAGAAGCGGUCACCCCCCACGUGCUGGAAUGACAGCUUUUUACUUGCUAGGCAGUUGGACCUUUUCCGAAUUUUCUACAAUGCACAUAGAUUUGUACUUACAUCUUUAAAUUAAAACCCACGCAACUCCGGCUCCCU
RNAcentral lists this long non-coding RNA (567 nucleotides) under Homo sapiens (human). RNAcentral's name for it is "HSALNT0001087". Lineage: Eukaryota; Metazoa; Chordata; Mammalia; Primates; Hominidae. The record is from RNAcentral.